Molecule: transfer RNA, 73 nt
Filed under: Felis catus (domestic cat)
Lineage: Eukaryota; Metazoa; Chordata; Mammalia; Carnivora; Felidae
Rfam family: tRNA
About the family: Transfer RNA (tRNA) molecules are approximately 80 nucleotides in length. Their secondary structure includes four short double-helical elements and three loops (D, anti-codon, and T loops). Further hydrogen bonds mediate the characteristic L-shaped molecular structure. tRNAs have two regions of fundamental functional importance: the anti-codon, which is responsible for specific mRNA codon recognition, and the 3' end, to which the tRNAs corresponding amino acid is attached (by aminoacyl-tRNA synthetases). tRNAs cope with the degeneracy of the genetic code in two manners: having more than one tRNA (with a specific anti-codon) for a particular amino acid; and 'wobble' base-pairing, i.e. permitting non-standard base-pairing at the 3rd anti-codon position.
Source: Rfam by way of RNAcentral
GCCUGGCUGGCUCAGUGGGUAGAGCAUGUGACUCUUGAUCUUGGGAUCGUGAGUUCAAGCCCCACAAUAGGUA